UUGCAGUUGUUUUAUCCCCAGUGACCACAGUGAUCCUUCCAUGUCAGAGGAACCAAAGGGGGAGCUAGAUCAGCUUUACACUUUUAGGAUCCUUUGGGGUUAUCUGCAGACACAAUAGGUUUUGUGGAUACCAAAGCUGGCCAUAUACUUCAGAAAGAUAUCAGAAAACAGCUCUCUCCUGACCCCUCCAAGGUCAGCACCCAGCAGCAUCAUAAUGACCCACUGGUGGUCUGGAAUCCUUAUGUUGGGGGCUCACAACGCAGGACAAUGUUCUAUGUCUCACAGCCAGGUCAAUCAAGGUGUGGAUAGAGGACCACCAGCUCAAGACCCUGUGAUACCAGCCCAAUCUCCAGACCUGAAUCCCCUUGAAAACUUCUGGAAUUCGGUAAAGAGGAAGAUGGAUGGUCACAAGACAUCAAACAAAGUUGAGCUAGUUCAAGUCUUGUGCCGGGGCUGACAUUCAGUCACCCAACAGGAAUGUGACAGACUGGUGGAAAGUAUGCCAAGACACAUGAACGCUGUGGUUAUAAAUCAGGAUUAUUCCACCAAAUAUUGACUUCUGAACUCUUCCUAAAUUAAAACAUUAGCAUUUUUUGUGUUGAAAAUAUUAAUAAAUUUUCUUUGCAUUAUUUGAGGUAUGAAACAAUGCA
Molecule: long non-coding RNA, 650 nt
Organism: Hyla sarda
Lineage: Eukaryota; Metazoa; Chordata; Amphibia; Anura; Hylidae
Exons: 3
Source: RefSeq, a predicted model, not a curated record